GACGAACGCUGGCGGCGUGCUUAACACAUGCAAGUCGAACGGAAAGGCCUGCUUUCCCUUGUGGAUUGCGGGUGCUCGAGUGGCGAACGGGUGAGUAACACGUGAGUGAUCUGCCCCCAACUUGGGUAUAAGCCUGGGAAACUGGGUCUAAUUCCCGAUAGGACUGCAGGGUGGUGCCUGUGGUGGAAAACGAUUUUCUAGUGGUUGGGGAUGAGCUCGCGGCCUAUCAGCUUGUUGGUGGGGUAAUGGCCUACCAAGGCGGCGACGGGUAGCCGGCCUGAGAGGGUGGACGGGCACAGUGGGACUGAGAUACGGCCCAGACUACUACGGGAGGCAGCAGUGGGGAAUAUUGCACAAUGGGCGGAAGCCUGAUGCAGCGACGCCGCGUGGGGGAUGACGGCCUUCGGGUUGUAAACUCCUUUCGACCGCGAGGAAGCCACCUGGUCGGAAGGGUGGUGACGGUAGUGGUAGAAGAAGCACCGGCUAACUACGUG
RNAcentral lists this ribosomal RNA (494 nucleotides) under uncultured bacterium. RNAcentral describes it as "partial 16S ribosomal RNA". It matches the Rfam family "Bacterial small subunit ribosomal RNA", at positions 28 to 507 of the family's 1533-position model. The record is from RNAcentral.